CCGAGCUUGGAACUUCGUUAGCUGCGAUGAGUUUCCUGGCCGCUACAUUCCUACUCCUGGUGUUCAGCGCAGCCACUCAGGCCGAACCAGUGCAGUUCAAGGACUGCGGUUCUGUGGAUGGAGUUAUAAAGGAAGUGAAUGUGAGAUCAUGCCCCACUCAGCCCUGCCAACUGAGCAAAGGACAGUCGUACAGUGUCAAUGUCACCUUCACCAGCAAUAUUCAAUCUAAAAGCAGCAAGGCCGUGGUGCAUGGCAUCCUGAUGGACGUCCCAGUUCCCUUUCCCAUUCCUGAGUCUGAUGGCUGUAAGAGUGGCAUUAACUGCGCCAUCCAAAAAGACAAGACCUAUAGCUACCUGAAUAAACUACCAGUGAAAAGUGAAUAUCCCUCUAUAAAACUGGUGGUGGAGUGGUAACUUCAGGAUGAUAGAAACCAAAGUCUUUUCUGCUGGGAAAUCCCAGUACAAAUCGUUACUCAUCAAGUGCCUCAUUGAGUUCAGUGCAUCUGGCCAACGAGUCUGCUGACUCUUGACAGCACCUCCAGCUCUGCUGCUUCAACAACAGUGACUUGCUCUCCAAUGGUAUCCAGUGAUUCGUUGAAGAGGAGGUGCUCUGUGGGAGAAACUCAGCUCUGGAUGGCUGGUUGUCAGUGGCUGUCUUAUGCUUCUUUUUCUAUCUUGGGUCGUUUUCAUUAAAUGCAGCACUUGGUUAACAGA
Sapajus apella (tufted capuchin) is the source of this 713-nucleotide RNA transcript. It is a transcript of the gene named NPC intracellular cholesterol transporter 2 pseudogene, with no coding region annotated. The transcript has a single exon. NCBI's taxonomy places the organism in Eukaryota, Metazoa, Chordata, Mammalia, Primates, Cebidae. The record is from RefSeq and is a predicted model, not a curated record.